Xylaria telfairii is the source of this 134-nucleotide non-coding RNA. Lineage: Eukaryota; Fungi; Ascomycota; Sordariomycetes; Xylariales; Xylariaceae. The record is from the annotation of a GenBank genome assembly.
GGAUCCAUAGCUCAGCGGUAGAGCAUCUGAUUCCAGCUUGAGACUUUACAAAUCCUGAGUAAUUCUACUCUAACCUAGUAAAGUAAUCCUCAACUGCCUCCAGAAGGUCAUCCGUUCAAAUCGGGUUGGGUUCA